GUAGUGGACCAAUGUCUGAAUGACCAUCUGAAGAAAGGGGAGAAGAGAAAAAAAAAAUUCAGUUGACUGUCGGUUGGAAUCUUCUGGAGCAGCCGCUGGAUGACAAACAGUUGCCAGUUCUGCAAAGAGACGAAAUGAGCAGAGUCUCAUACAAAUCCUCAAAAAAAAACAACCAAGCGCUUCCUUGCGAGAAGGCCUCACGUUGACGUCAUGGUGGGGGCCAACUUGGAUUUCUGGAGGGAAACAAGAGCGAAGGUGAUGUCCAACCACUUCUGAGGGCCUCAAAGUGGACAAGCCUGAACACAAACAGGAGGUGCAGCGUCUUGGUGACCAGGGUGCGGAGUCCACGAUGGCACCAACUGGAAGCUUCUCUGCACAGUCAAAAUGGGAAAAAAAAAAAACAAA
Molecule: long non-coding RNA, 405 nt
Organism: Hippocampus comes (tiger tail seahorse)
Lineage: Eukaryota; Metazoa; Chordata; Actinopteri; Syngnathiformes; Syngnathidae
Exons: 3
Source: RefSeq, a predicted model, not a curated record